AUAUGCAGCACGGGAGAGAUCGUUCGACAGAACGGCGCCGACGGAGCAACCGCCCCGGAAACUCUCAGGCAAAAGGACUGUUGCUGCAGG
Molecule: non-coding RNA, 90 nt
Filed under: Burkholderia sp.
Lineage: Bacteria; Pseudomonadati; Pseudomonadota; Betaproteobacteria; Burkholderiales; Burkholderiaceae
Also listed under: 1 other name
Description: Glycine sequence
Rfam family: Glycine riboswitch aptamer
About the family: This family represents the bacterial glycine riboswitch. Glycine riboswitches usually consist of two metabolite-binding aptamers domains with similar structures in tandem.
Source: RNAcentral